CUCAUUUUACUUCCAUCUGUUUCUCCCUCUUUCUGAUCUUCAUCGCCAUAGCUCAGAGAUGAAAUUAGAGUUCAUUAUGGUAUUAGAUCUUGAGUUAAUGAUCUAUAGCACUCGAGUCUAAUUCCAGAUUCAUCUUCCUUAAUUGUUUUUGCUAGUUAAACAUUUGAGCUUGAGCAAUUGCUUCGAUUCCCAAACAUUAGGGUUAGACCGAUUUUGAGUAAUUGACAUUUGUGCGAUCUAGAUUUCUAUUGGUAAUGGCGAUUACUGGAGAAUACAAUGGACCGAAUCACGAAGAGGUAGCUGCAGAACCAGUGAACCAGUGGUCGUUCAGCAUCAUCCGCUGUUUCUGCAAAUAAGUGACACUCCAGGUAGUUCUCUCAUCUCUAUCAAGCUCAGAGGACCUGAGAAUUACACCUUGUGGAGAAG
RNAcentral lists this long non-coding RNA (426 nucleotides) under Nicotiana benthamiana. Its description in RNAcentral is "long non-coding RNA (NBEN_LNC020961)". Lineage: Eukaryota; Viridiplantae; Streptophyta; Magnoliopsida; Solanales; Solanaceae. The record is from RNAcentral.